GCUUAACAAUUUGAUCGAUUUUGUUUAGUCCCAUUAAGUCUCUUUUACUUUUAAUGCUAAAUAAAUUGGGAUAUUUUAUUUUAGAAACAAAUAUUUACCAUAGAAAAUUUCAGUGAACGUAGAUCCCUUUAAAUUACAGAAAUAAAUGAUAGUAAAUAAUACAUAUCUUGUCCCAUUUGAAAGUGUUCUUGUAAUGUUGUAUCACCCCGUUCAAAUCAGAUAUCAUUGAUAUGAUUUAAGCCCAUUAACCUCCCUUUUUGUGCUUUGUUGCCAUAUGGCACAUGUUAAUUAGGAUACCAAGUAAAACUUUAUGUUAAUUUAGGAGCACUUUAUAUCCUCAAAAAAGCAAUGUAGUCGUAUGGCACCGUAUUUUAAAUGCAUCUGCACCAGUCGGUGCUGCCAUCUACAUUUCCAGUAAUGGCGGCGCCCAUGAGUGGUUGACAAGACCAAAAGUUCCAAGACAAAAUUAUUUAUUUUCGACUUCGAUUACGUGUAAAUUGGUUGACAAUAUGGCAUUCAGUACAAGGUAUUUUUAUGGAAGGACUGGUCCCACUACAGCUGUUAUUCCGGAUACUGGUGAUGUAUCUGAUAUUGGCGAGUCUGAUGAUGAACAAGACCCUUCAGGGCAGCCACUUGGAUCAGCUUCAGAGAGUGAUUAUGAAGAUGAAGAAGAAGAGGUUAGUGUCGAGGAAGACAGUGAUGAGGAUGACGAUGCACCUCCAGCAUCAUCUGAUGCACCUCCAGCAUCAUCUUCAGCAUCAUCUCGCAAAAAAACACAGUGGAAAUACAAA
Molecule: long non-coding RNA, 791 nt
Organism: Priapulus caudatus
Lineage: Eukaryota; Metazoa; Priapulida; Priapulimorpha; Priapulimorphida; Priapulidae
Exons: 2
Source: RefSeq, a predicted model, not a curated record